AGUACGUGAAACUGCUUAGAGGUUAAGCCCGAUGAACUUGAAUAUCCAUUAUGGAAAAUUCAUCAUUAAUAUUAUAAUAUUUAUCAUAUUAUAAAAAUAGUGUGCAAUUUUUCCAUAUAAGGACAUUGUAAUCUGUUAAUGUAUUAAAUAUUUAUUAAAAGAUCUUAUACUUAUGUUUAUUUGAAUUUGUUAACUUUGGUUUUCAAACAUAAAAUAAAUGUAUUUGAUUUAAUAAAUCAUUGACAGAUUUCAUUAUAUAUAGUGCUUAAAUUUUUUUUUUAAAAAAUUUUACAAUAACAUUAUAAUUCUAUUUAUUGUGUUUAUUGUAUGCGCUUAUAUGAUUAACAAUGCAAUAGAUUCAAGAUACCUUCGGGACCCGUCUUGAAACACGGACCAAGGAGUCUAACAUAUGUGCAAGUCAUUGGGUAUUUUUAAUAAAACCCAAUGGCAUAAUUAACUUAACUGUUAUAUGGGAUUAGUUUAAAUUUUAUUAUGAAAUAUAAAUUCAAUCCCGGGGCGUUCUAUACAGUUAUGCAUAAUGGUAUUUAUAUUAUUUAUGCCUCUAACU
Molecule: ribosomal RNA, 568 nt
Filed under: Rhingia pellucens
Lineage: Eukaryota; Metazoa; Arthropoda; Insecta; Diptera; Syrphidae
Description: partial 28S large subunit ribosomal RNA
Source: RNAcentral